This 216-nucleotide ribosomal RNA is filed under the name Salmonella enterica subsp. enterica serovar Kentucky. RNAcentral's name for it is "partial 23S ribosomal RNA". It matches the Rfam family "Bacterial large subunit ribosomal RNA", at positions 694 to 909 of the family's 2925-position model. The record is from RNAcentral. Lineage: Bacteria; Pseudomonadati; Pseudomonadota; Gammaproteobacteria; Enterobacterales; Enterobacteriaceae.
GUUAAGUUGCAGGGUAUAGACCCGAAACCCGGUGAUCUAGCCAUGGGCAGGUUGAAGGUUGGGUAACACUAACUGGAGGACCGAACCGACUAAUGUUGAAAAAUUAGCGGAUGACCUGUGGCUGGGGGUGAAAGGCCAAUCAAACCGGGAGAUAGCUGGUUCUCCCCGAAAGCUAUUUAGGUAGCGCCUCGUGAAUUCAUCUCCGGGGGUAGAGCA